Molecule: ribosomal RNA, 459 nt
Filed under: uncultured bacterium
Lineage: Bacteria
Description: partial 16S ribosomal RNA
Rfam family: Bacterial small subunit ribosomal RNA
Source: RNAcentral
CCUACGGGAGGCAGCAGUGAGGAAUAUUGGUCAAUGGCCGGAAGGCUGAACCAGCCAAGCCGCGUGAAGGACGAAGGUGCCAAGCAUUGUAAACUUCUUUUGUCAAGGGACAAAAUCAGGCUCGAGAGCCUGAUCGAGGGUACCUGACGAAAAAGCAUCGGCUAACUCCGUGCCAGCAGCCGCGGUAAUAGGAGGGAUGCGAGCGUUAUCCGGAUUUAUUGGGUGUAAAGGGUGCGUAGGCGGACUGUUAAGUCAGCGGUAAAAGCACGGGGCUCAACCCCGGAGUGCCGGUGAAACUGGGUGUCUUGAGAUGUCGAGAGGUAUGCGGAAUGCGCAGUGUAGCGGUGAAAUGCUUAGAUAUUACGCAGAACUCCGAUUGCGAAGGCAGCAUACCGGCGGCGAUCUGACGCUGAGGCACGAAAGCGUGGGUAUCGAACAGGAUUAGAUACCCUUGUAGUC